This 2129-nucleotide ribosomal RNA is filed under the name Aphelinus abdominalis. RNAcentral describes it as "bacterial LSU rRNA". It matches the Rfam family "Bacterial large subunit ribosomal RNA", at positions 1 to 2277 of the family's 2925-position model. Lineage: Eukaryota; Metazoa; Arthropoda; Insecta; Hymenoptera; Aphelinidae. The record is from RNAcentral.
AUAAAUUAUUAAGAGCACUUGAUGGAUGCCUUGGCGUUAAGAGGCGAUGAAGGACGUGGCAGGCUGCGAUAAGCUGUGGGGAAUUGUCAACAAAUUUUGAUCCGCAGAUUUCCGAAUGGGGAAACCCAACUAGUUUAGCUAGUUAUUACGUACUAAGUAUGUAAAGCAAACUUGGUGAACUGAAAUAUCUAAGUAGCCAAAGGAAAAGAAAUCAACCGAGAUUCUGUUAGUAGUGACGAGCGAAAGCGGAAAAGGCUAGUGAUUUAAGAAUAAGAAUUAGAAUACUCUGGAAAUAGUAACCAUAGAAGGUGAUAGUCCUGUAUAAGUAGAAAGUUUUUAAAUCCUUGAGUAGAGCGGGGCACGUGAAAUCCUGUUUGAAUAUGGGGGGACCAUCCUCCAAGCCUAAAUACUCCUUAACGACCGAUAGUGAACAAGUACCGUGAGGGAAAGGUGAAAAGAACCCCGGGAGGGGAGUGAAAUAGAAUCUGAAAUCAAGUGCUUACAAACAGUUGGAGCUCUAUAUCAAUUUAUUGAUAUUUAGAGUGACAGCGUACCUUUUGCAUAAUGGGUCAGCGAGUUAAUCUAUGAAGCAAGCUUAAGCCGUUAGGUGUAGGCGUAGCGAAAGCAAGUCUGAAUAGGGCGUUUUAGUUUUAUGGAUUAGACCCGAAACCAAGUGAUCUAGUCAUGACCAGAUUGAAGGUGUGGUAAAACACACUGGAGGAUCGAACCAGUUAAUGUUGCAACAUUAUUGGAUGAGUUGUGAUUAGGGGUGAAAGGCCAAUCAAACUUGGAAAUAGCUGGUUCUCCGCGAAAUCUAUUUAGGUAGAGCGUUGUAUGUAUGUUGUUGGGGGUAGAGCACUGGAUAGACUAGGGGGAUUCACCGUCUUACCAAAUCUAACUAAACUCCGAAUACCAACAAUUAAUUAUACAGCAGGCACACUACGGGUGCUAAGUCCGUGGUGAAGAGGGAAACAACCCAGAUCACUAUCUAAGGUCCCAAAAUUACAGCUAAGUGGGGAAGGAAGUAGAAAAACCAUUACAGCUAGGAGGUUGGCUUGGAAGCAGCCAUCCUUUAAAGAAAGCGUAACAGCUCACUUGUCUAAAUAAGUUUUUCUGCACCGAAAAUGUACCGGGGCUAAAGCUGUAUACCGAAGAUGUGAGUGCUUAUUGAUUUCGAUCAAUAGGCGCGGUAGCGGAGCGUUCCGUAAGUCUGUGAAGGUGGUUUGUGAAAACUGCUGGAGAUAUCGGAAGUGAGAAUGCUGACAUAAGUAGCGUAAAAGAGUGUGAAAAGCACUCUCACCAAAAAUCUAAGGGUUCCUACGUUAAGUUAAUCUGCGUAGGGUUAGUCGGUUCCUAAGGCGAGUCCGUAAAGGAGUAGUCGAUGGCAAUUAGGUUAAUAUUCCUAAACCUCUUAAGUGUGACGGGUUUCGUAUUUGUAUAGAUCUUAUUGGAUUGAUCUAUGCUUAAAAGAAGCUCCAGGAAAUAGCACUUAUAUUUAUGAGGCCGUACCGCAAACCGACACUGGUGGAUGAGUAGAGUAUACUAAGGUGUUGAAAGAAUGAUGUUGAAGGAACUCGGCAAAUUAUACCUGUAACUUCGGAAGAAGGGUAACCUGCUUUUAGGCAACUAUGAGUAGGUGGCACAAAAUAGGGAGUAGCGACUGUUUACUAAAAACACAGGACUCUGCAAACACGUAAGUGGAAGUAUAGGGUCUGACGCCUGCCCGGUGCUGGAAGGUUAAUAGGAAGGGUGCAAGCUCCGAAUUGAAGCCCCAGUAAACGGCGGCCGUAACACUGACGGUCCUAAGGUAGCGAAAUUCCUUGUCGGGUAAGUUCCGACCUGCACGAAUGGCGUAACGACUUCCCCGCUGUCUCCAACGCAGACUCAGUGAAAUUGAAUUCCCCGUGAAGAUGCGGGGUUCCUGCGGUUAGACGGAAAGACCCCGUGCACCUUUACUAUAGCUUUACACUGGCAUUCGUGUCGACAUGUGUAGGAUAGGUGGUAGACUUUGAAGCAGUGGCGCCAGCCAUUGUGGAGUCAUCCUUGAAAUACCACCCUUAUCUAUAUGGAUGUCUAACUGCGGCCCGUUAUCCGGGUCCAGGACCGUGUAUGGUGGGUAGUUUGACUGG